This 2213-nucleotide long non-coding RNA is filed under the name Oryza brachyantha (malo sina). Its description in RNAcentral is "long non-coding RNA (OBRA_LNC001068)". Lineage: Eukaryota; Viridiplantae; Streptophyta; Magnoliopsida; Poales; Poaceae. The record is from RNAcentral.
UGCUUAAGGCUCCGAAGUGAAGAUAGACCUACAAUGAAGCAAGUUGAAAUGAGUUUACAGUUCUUGCGAACAAAAAGAUCGAUGUCAUGCCAUGCUGCGCUAGAAAAUGGGGAAGAGAAGCAGUCAUUCCUACACACAAGGUCUGAAGUUUGUUAUGAGUCAUUGGCUAUUAACAUGGGUGGCAGUGCUAAUGCUGAGUCUGGAAAUAGCCACAAAUGCUAUAGUUUGGAACAAGAGUUCGUUUCAUCCAUUGGACUUCCACGCUAAGUCACUAUGAGCUACUUUAUAUAUAAUCUGAAAUUCAACCUAAUUUGUGGAGGAAAAAGAUAGGAUGUUUUUCAAUUAUAAACAGGUCUCAAUUAUGCACAUCAGCUUCUCACUCAAUAUGGUUCCCGAUCAAGGAUUCAGUAUAUAUCUUGUUUAUGGAGUCUCAUGGACAGUAAAGUACUCGUGCAUGUAGGUUUUUCUUGAGUAUUUUGCAAAUACCUCUAUCAUGAUGUUACAGAAGUUCUCCCAACGGUAAAUUGAGUGAUGUAUGUAUCUAGGUAUGAUAUUGUUGAACGAUGAUACUAAAAGUAAAUAAAUUCAACAUAAGAGUCAGGAUAACACUACUUAUGUAGUUCUGCAAUUGCUAUCUGCAGCCUCCAUCGAGGUCUGUCACUUUCUAUCUCUACUAGCCUUCUCAUUCUUAUAUACCCUUUCCACAAAACAAUAUAUGAUUAUUAAAGCAGAUAAAACAAUCCAAUUGAUUAUUAGGUGCCAUUCGAGGUCAGCAAUUAAAUAUGCCACACAAAUAUAUAGAAGACGAACAAUUAAUCCUAUAGGAUAAGCAUACCUUUGAAAUAAGGAUCUUUUUACAGUGCACCCAAGUUAUUAUGGACCCUCCAUCCAAUAUUAAUCCAAUGGCUAAUAAUUAUCUUAGCUCAUAGGGGGUAAGAAUUAUUUAUUAUCAUUAAAUGGCAAUGAAAACCAAUUAUUGUGUUCUAAUGAGGAAUGAAAGGAAGUUUCCUUGUUGAAAAUUUUAUGAAAUUCAAAAUAUAGUGCAAAAAUAAAUUCAAUUAGUUAAACUAAUGAUUUUUAUAACUCAUUUUCAUGAUUUUGAAUACUUUUUAAUAUGCUAUAUGAUGAACUUUUAUAUUGUUCGCCUUCAGUUUAAAACAUUCAAAUAUUUUUUUUAAAUGCGUUCAAUUUCUAUUUACAUAUCGACAACAUAUGACUUCAAUAUAUAAAUUUGUUCAUAAUAUUCUUUUUGUAGUAUAUUGAUUACAUGUGUAGUAUAUAUUUUUCUUGUAUUGCAUGCAUGCACAAGAACAAUAUACAUUGGUACUUUCCUUUGUUGGUUAAUAUAUUUAUGGUAGGAAAUAAUUUUUUUUUUGAAAAAAAUAAUCUAUCGAAAUUGAAUGGCUAGGAUUUGUCACAGCUCUCUUACCUCUCUAGAGGUAAGAUGGAGAACCCUAAAACAUCUCUUGAAAUAAACAAGACAAGCCCAUACAGAAGGAAUCAUGUGCAGGAAGGUGGCAUGGCAGCAACCAUUAGUCCUUGAUCCGGCAAUAAGUGAAUCUAGAAUUGGGAUUCAAUUUACGCCAGCUAGCUCUCACAAUCUUCCUAUACUGCGUGCAUUUAUACAUCCUCCAAAUUGACAAAAUUGCAGACAAUUAGCUGAAAAAACAAAUAUGCAUUAUACUCGAAAUUCUAGAGCAUUGCUACAGUGCUAUCUAUAUGGAUACUAGUUACUCCUGGCACUGGAAGAAACCUAAAGAAAAAAAAAACAUUGUUAUCAUUAGAUCAUUAGAGAUGCAUUUGUAACGAGACUACGAGCACUCCACUCGUGAUUAUUGGGUGCCAUGUUGAUCUGAAAGACUCAAUAUGCCCACGCAAAGAGUGAAAUAGCAGCCAAACAAUCAAAGCAGAUCACCAUCACUGGAAUCACUGGAAUUAAACUAAACAUGCAAGUCAAAAUGAAAAAAAAAAGAAUCGUUCCUCAUUUCCCCACCAGAAUGGGGAGGAAUCUAGCAAGGGGCAGCAGGACAUUAUACCUAUUAACACCCCGACGGUACGAGAGACCGGCAGAUCGCCCACCAUCCCUACCGGAAUCAGAUGAAAGGGAGGGAGGGGAGAGGAAUGUGGUCGGCGGCCUCGUGGGUCGGUCUCGUGGCGGCGAAGCUGGGGAGGAGGAGGUGGUGGUGGCUGGCGCCCUGCAGCCGGUGGCCACG